UCAUCGGCUCUCCUAUGAUGUCAUUAACUCCUGCUUCCUUGCAGCCGCAGGGCAUUGUGGCCUGAAAGCACCACCUAAGCAGGAACUGCCUGGCUCCAAGGAACAGCCCCACUUGUGAAGAGGCCUGAAGAGAUCUGGCCAACAGAUAGGGAGCCCACCAGGCUUCAAGUCUGUACAAGCACACCGUGCCCCAAGUGACUUCUCCCAGGGAACCAAGAGGGCUGGCGAAUGGAAGCAAAACCCAGUCCUUUUCUGCCUCCUUUUGAAAACAGUCCAAAUCUCAACAGGUCCAGGUUCUCUGCUUGUCUGUUUCAACAGAUGGAAACACUUGUUGAAAGAAGGCAGCAAGCCCAAGGUGCUACGCAGGGAAACAGCCCCUUCCGUCUCAGGAGGCAUUGAGCCUUGCUCCAAAGGAGUGUGUGGCAAGGGCCCCAAGAAUAUGGUUUUUGGCUUCCCAGUGGAUCCUGGGAAGGCUUGCCAGAUUUAGCCAUAAGACACAAACAAAACAAAAAGGACAAUAUUUGGGACAUAUUCGAAAUCGAAAUUUAACUGCGCAUCUCGUGUAUGAUUUAGUGGCUUGAAUCCCGGAGGCGCUGAUGCAGCUCGCAUUUGGUCUUCUGUGGUCUGUACAUUAGUGUUUGUCUUCUUCUUCAUCCUAAAC
Molecule: long non-coding RNA, 661 nt
Organism: Mustela erminea (ermine)
Lineage: Eukaryota; Metazoa; Chordata; Mammalia; Carnivora; Mustelidae
Exons: 3
Source: RefSeq, a predicted model, not a curated record